UACGUAGGGGGCUAGCGUUGUCCGGAUUUAUUGGGCGUAAAGAGCGUGUAGGCGGCCAGGUAGGUCUGCUGUGAAAACUCGAGGCUUAACCUCGAGAUGUCGGCGGAAACCAUCUGGCUAGAGUCCGGAAGAGGAGAGUGGAAUUCCUGGUGUAGCGGUGAAAUGCGCAGAUAUCAGGAAGAACACCCGUGGCGAAGGCGGCUCUCUGGGAUGGUACUGACGCUGAGACGCGAAAGCGUGGGGAGCGAACAGG
Molecule: ribosomal RNA, 253 nt
Filed under: uncultured bacterium
Lineage: Bacteria
Description: partial 16S ribosomal RNA
Rfam family: Bacterial small subunit ribosomal RNA
Source: RNAcentral